AAUCACCAUAGGAAGAAGAUUCCACAGUAGCCUGUGAUUCCAGAAGAAUGAAAGACAUGUGGAGCAGCUAUGGACCAAGUUAACUAGAAGCCAACUUAGAUUAGCCAUUCUUCAGCCACAGACAUGCAGCACGUGGUUGGGUGCAGCUUGCAAUCACAAAUCAAAACGGAAGAGGAAGAGGACAACUGUAUAAAGCAGCGUGAUUUAAGUUGAUCUGUGGGACAAAGAGUUAAGCCACAAAUAUUUGGGGAGAGAGAUAUUCAAACAUCCCAACAACUUGGAGCAGCAUGGGAUUUCUAAAGAAGCUGACAAAGGAGAAAAGGCCCAAGAAAGCAACUCUGAAUCAAAAAGCCAUUAACUCUUUGAGAAUGUCUUACUGGUCUUACUCUGACCAGUAAGAAAGAGUAGACAGAACAAUAAAACUUUAUCUUUUUUCCCUUAUGUGCACUACUCUGGGACAUUUUCUCUCAACUGCUUGUCCAGAUAUGUCCUGUGGCUCCCUAUUAAGUGAUGGCACCUGUUAUACAGCUGCGUG
This 535-nucleotide long non-coding RNA is filed under the name Homo sapiens (human). Its description in RNAcentral is "HSALNT0393642". The record is from RNAcentral. Lineage: Eukaryota; Metazoa; Chordata; Mammalia; Primates; Hominidae.